CUACGGGUUGCUGCAGUUAGGAAUAAUCUACAAUGCGCGCAAGCGUGAUAGUUUGAGCCAGAGUGUUUUUCUAUUUGAAAAGCUUUUGCCGAAUGUAAAAAGUUCGGCGAAUAAGGACUGGGUAAGACGAGUGCCAGCCGCCGCGGUAAUACUCGCGGUCCAAGUCGCAGCCAUUUUUAUUGGGUCUAAAACAUCCGUAGCUUGCUUGAUAAGUUUCCUGUGAAAUCCGGCUUCUUAAGAGCUGGGCGGGCAGGAAGUACUGUUAAGCUAGAGACUGGGAGACGUAAGAAGUACGUUUAAAGUAACGGUAAAAUGUGUUAAUCUUAAACGGACUCACAACAGCGAAGGCAUCUUACGAGAACAGUUCUGACAGUCAGGGAUGAAGGCUAGGGGCGCAAAACGGAUUAAUACCCCCGUAGUC
RNAcentral lists this ribosomal RNA (421 nucleotides) under uncultured archaeon. RNAcentral describes it as "partial 16S ribosomal RNA". It matches the Rfam family "Archaeal small subunit ribosomal RNA", at positions 323 to 746 of the family's 1478-position model. The record is from RNAcentral.